Molecule: RNA transcript, 5237 nt
Organism: Amphibalanus amphitrite
Lineage: Eukaryota; Metazoa; Arthropoda; Thecostraca; Balanomorpha; Balanidae
Gene name: protein shuttle craft-like
Exons: 16
Source: RefSeq, a predicted model, not a curated record
UGCCUUCCAUUGCAAUUGCAGUUCUAAAAACGACGCAAUCAUUGUGAUUUCGUUUUGCCUUGGACUUGCAUUGGACAGGCAUAUGGUAUCCUAUAUACGGCCUUGACUGGUAUACCAAUACUGCCUUGAUUGGGCAGAUAUCUUUGUUUUCAUAUACCCACCCUGCAUUGGGCUAUAUCCCAGAAUUUUGCCUUGGGCACCGGCCGCCGCUUAAAUUCUUACUGGUGCCGCAAGAUAAUCUUGCGCAAUCUUGCGCAAGUAUACGUGCCCAAGGCCAUAUAUUACGUGUUUCAGUUCUCUAUAUACCGUGGCUUCAGCUCAAGCUUGUGAGGUUGCCUGUGAGAGGUGGACGGCAGUGGUCUGUUGUCGAGCGCACAAUGUCGAGUGAAGAGCCAAUCCCCACACGGACCUUUAGCCGCGGCGGGGGGAUGGGUCGCGGCCGGGCGCGACCGCGCCGGGCCGGCGCCCGCACUUGGGACGCUCGCGCUGGUCCCCCUCCGGACCAUAUCUCCUCUGUGGGCGAGCUGGGCCGGCCGACCUCCCAGCGGCAGCGGUGGCCGCCCGGCGCCCGGCCCGGCGAGCCGGCCGUCUUCAGCGACUCCGUGCUGGCCUUUAUCAGCUCGGCCACGGCGGCGGCCCAGGGCGAGGCUCCGGCCGCCGAGGGCUCCGGCCGGCGGCAGCAGCGCGGGACGCCACCGGAGCGCCGGGACGACCCCAGACGGCGGCAACACUACCGGGACGGCGGGAAGGGUGGCACCAGCCGGGCUGGCCGGCCGCAGGGCGACGGGCCUCUGCAGCACAGCGCGCCACACCCGGCCGGCCGUCGACCGAACGGCGGCCACAGCGGCCCGGCGGCCGGCGGCUGGCUGGGCAGCAGCCGGUCCGAGGGCGCCGGCUGGUGCCCGGACGGCGGCCGGCGGCACGGCGGGCCACGGCGCGGGGGCCGCCGCCAGCCGCCGCGCCCGCCGGCGCCACCGGACCACCAGGCGGACGCGUCCGUGUGCCGGCCGCAGCCGGUGGCGGUGCGUGCACCGUCACCGUCCGGCGCCGAGCUGGGUCAGCGCGAGCGGCUGGUGGAGCAGCUCAGUGGCGGCCGCUACGAGUGCCUGGUGUGUGUGGAGCUGGUGCGGCCGGCCCACCCGGUCUGGAGCUGCGCCAGCUGCUACCACGUGUUCCACAUGGGCUGUGUGCGCCGCUGGGCGCGCACCAGCAGAGCAGAGUCCGGAGGCUGGCGUUGUCCGGCCUGUCAGAAUGUGACCGCCGCGCCCCCGGCCACGUACAAAUGCUUCUGUGGCAAGAUGCGCGAUCCGCCGUGGAACCGACGCGACACGCCGCAUUCGUGUGGAGAGGUGUGCGGUCGAAGUCGCUCCGAUGUGAAUUGCGUGCACCGCUGUACGCUGCUCUGCCAUCCGGGACCCUGUCCGCCGUGCAGUGCUUCCGUGACACGGUCGUGUCCGUGCGGUAAGAAGACGGUGGAGAUUCGCUGUGAGCUGGCGGCCACGCUCACCUGUGAGCAGACGUGCGGCCGCAGCCUCAACUGUGGCGUUCACCGCUGCGGGGAGCCGUGCCACCGGGGCGACUGCGCCGAGUGUCCCGUCCAGCUGGAGCGAGUGUGUUUCUGCGGCAAGGAGCGGCGCCAGGAGGCGUGCACCGCGGAGACAGCCGGCGCGGGCCCGUUCUGCUGCGGCCAGCCGUGCGGCCGGCAGCUCGACUGCGGCCGACACCACUGCGACAGGCUCUGCCACGAGGGCGAGUGCGGCGCCUGCCCGCUCAGCCCCGAACUGGUGCAGCGGUGUCCGUGCGGCGCCCGGCCGCUGAGCGAGCUGCCGGCGCCGGCGCGCGCCUCCUGCGCCGACCCGGUGCCCACGUGCGGCGGGACGUGCGGCCGACGACUGGCCUGCGGUCGGCCCGGCCAGCGGCACACGUGCCGGGCCGCCUGCCACGCGGGCGACUGUCCGCCGUGCCCGCUGCAGACGGCCGUCCGGUGCCGGUGCGGCUUUAUGGACCGCGAGAUUGCCUGCGGCGAGCUCACCACCCGCGCCGACGACGCGCGCUGCCAGAAACGCUGCACCAAGAAGCGCAGCUGCGGCCGCCACAAGUGCGGCCAGGAGUGCUGCAUCCUAGUGGAGCACCCGUGCCCGCUGACGUGCGGCCGCCGGCUGACGUGCGGCGUGCACACGUGCCAGCAGCCCUGCCACGUGGGACAGUGUCGGCCAUGCAUGGAGGCCAGUUUUGACGAGCUGCACUGCGAGUGCGGCGCGUCGGUGUUGUACCCGCCGGUGGCGUGCGGCACGCCGCGACCGCCCUGCGACCAGCCGUGCUCGCGCGCCCACCCGUGCGGCCACCCGGUGCUGCACAGCUGCCACAGCCAGCCAGAGUGUCCGCCCUGCACCCAGCUGAUGAAAAAGUUCUGCUACGGACGCCACGAGGAGAGGAGCAGUGUGCCGUGCCACCAGACUGCCGUCUCGUGCGGCCGGCCCUGUGGCAAGCCGCUGCCCUGCCGUCGCCACCAGUGCAAGGAGCCGUGCCACGCGGGCCCGUGUCCGGAGCUGGCUGCCGGCUGCAGGCAGCCCUGCCGGGCUGUGCGUGGCGACUGCCAGCACCCGUGCGGCGCGCCAUGCCACGACGGCGAGUGUCCCAGCACGCCUUGCCGCGCCCAGGUGCGCGUGAGCUGCGAGUGCGGCCACCGCAGCCGAACGGUGGCCUGCAGCGACACGGGCGGCUUCCGGGCGCUUAGCACCUCGGCGCUGGCGCACCGGCUGUCUGCCAUCCAGGCCGGCGGCGCCGGCGGCGUUGACGUCUCCGAGCUGCUGUCGGGCGCCGCCGGCGGGCCGGCCAGGGCCGCCAGGACCAGAGCGCUGCAGUGCAACGCCGAGUGCGCGCUGCUCGAGAGGAACCGUCGUCUGGCCGCGGCGCUUCAGAUAAAAAACCCGGAGCUGUCGUCGCGGGCAGGGCCGCCCGCCUACCCGCCCUCCAUGCUCGAGAUGGCGCGCAAGGCGAAGGGUCUGGCCGAGGACGUACACCAGCAGCUGGCCGAGCUGGUCCAGCGGGCGCAGCAGUCAAAGCACAAGAGUCGGAGCGUGGCGUUCGCGCCAAUGAACCGCGAGCGGCGCCAGUUUGUGCACGAGUACUGCGAACACUUUGGCUGCGAGUCCGAGAGCUACGACGACGAGCCAAAGAGGAACGUGGUGGCCACGGCCUACCGCGACAGGUGCUGGCUGCCCACCCUCAGCGUCCUGCAGGUACGGACAGCGUCCUGCAGGUACGGACAGUGUCCUCCAGGUACGGACAGCGUCCUGCAGGUACGGACAGCGUGCUGCAGGUACGGACAGCGUGCUGCAGGUACGGACAGCGUGCUGCAGGUACGAACAGCGUCCUGCAGGUACGGACAGUGUGCUGCUGGUACGGACAGUGUCCUCCAGGUACGGACAGCGUGCUGCAGGUACGGACUGCCGUGUCGAUGAGGCGCGAUGUUGCUGGUACCUGCAGCACACUGUCUGGUGGUGAACCACAUUGUGGCUGGAAGGAGUAGAUAAUUGUAUACAGACUCAGCCGGUUACUCAAUUCCCAGCCGGUGCCGGCGGUACCAGCACCUGCCAAAUAUCUCCCGGUGCCCCCGAGUACGGCUCUCGCUAGAUUAAGCGGUAGGUUUUGCACUUUUACAUUUCCGGUUAUGUCUCAGAAACUAAUCGAUCUACGAUGAAGCCAUUUUACACGAUCAUGGUCGGCUUGUGAACCAGCAAGUCGACCGCAUCUUUAACACUUAAAAGUUUAAGACGACGAAGAUAUAGCCUGAAGUGCACUAAGUUUUCUAGGUGCAAAACCUACCGCUAAAACCCGCGAGACCUGUACAUAGCUGCACCCCUGAGUACACUACAGCACCCCCGAGUACAUUGCAGUACCCUCUAGUACAUACUGUACCCCGGAGUCUGUGUCAGUGCCCUGCUCCCCGUUCCCAGGUCGUUGAGUCGGGCCCCAGGAAGAUUGCGCCGGCGCCACGCCUGGGCUCUAAGCGCGAGAGCGCUGCCGCGGUGCCGGCUGGUGCCGCGACCACGGCGCCGUCGGUCGCCAGUGCGCAGUCGAAGGAGCCGCCGGCGAUCGACUAUUUCGACUUCACCGGCUGACGGUGCUGGCCGGACGACCUCUCCGCCGGCGGCCGGACGAGCCCUCUGGCUGGCUCGCCCGGCCAGAGGGUGUGACGCCCCGCGCUGUACGAGCGGGGCCAGAGGGGCGCUGCGUUCCGCCGCCGAGCGGCCGGCGUCAGUGGACCGUGACUGCCAGAGCACUGGAUGAACGUAGGGCCGCCCAGAGGGGCUCAGUGGGCUCCCACUGGGGCUCCCACAGCUCGCCCUCUGUGCCCAGGGUGCGGCCAGUCGCCGCCGGGUCCGUGGCCCGGCCCGCUGGCGAGCAGCACAGCCAGGGCUGGAGAUGACCGCCGGCGGCGGCACCCGCCUCCCUGGCGCGCGCAAUGUGUGACGCCGCCUGUCGGACCUGGGUCCCGGUGUGGAUGGCAAUGGUGCUGCGCCAGCCGGCUGGUGUGUGCUGCGGCCUGGAAUAGUGCUGCGCCAGCCGGCUGGUGUGUGCUGCGGCCUGGAAUAGUGCUGCGCCAGCCGGCUGGUGUGUGCUGUGGCCUGGAAUAGUGCUGCGCCAGCCGGCUGGUGUGUGCUGUGGCCUGGAAUAGUGCUGCGCCAUCCGACUGGUGUGUGGUGCGGCCUGGAAUAGUGCUGCGCCAGCCGGCUGGUGUGUGAUGUGGCCUGGAAUAGUGCUGCGCCAGCCGGCUGGUGUGUGCUGUGGCCUGGAAUAGUGCUGCGCCAGCCGGCUGGUGUGUGGUGCGGCCUGGAAUAGUGCUGCGCCAGCCGGCUGGUGUGUGCUGUGGCCUGGAAUAGUGCUGCGCCAGCCGGCUGGUGUGUGCUGCGGCCUGGAAUAGUGCUGCGCCAGCCGGCUGGUGUAACGUCUCGGUGAGCCAAGGGCCACCGCGUCUAGUUGAUUGCUCUAAAUAACAUGUUUAGGUCCAAAUUGUCAACAAGAAGUGUGUGUGUGUGUAGGUGUGUGCGGGAAUUGCGCGGCGUGUGCUCAGAGUGUAGUUGCGCAGCGUGUGUUGGGAGUGGAGCGGGUCGCGAGUCACCAGUCACCGCUGUCCUAAAUUACGGAACUGUAUAGGGUAAAUUGAUUAUUGCUGUUUGGGGAGUUAUCGGGUGAUCGGUGAUAUUUAUUUUCAAAUAAAAAUUUUGAAUCAA